UAGAUAAAAGUUCGGUGGUUUGAACGCUUAGCUGUUAAUUAAGAUGUUGCAGGAUCGAGGCCUGUUUAUCUAG
RNAcentral lists this transfer RNA (73 nucleotides) under Leucoraja erinaceus (little skate). RNAcentral describes it as "tRNA-Asn". Lineage: Eukaryota; Metazoa; Chordata; Chondrichthyes; Rajiformes; Rajidae. RNAcentral also lists the same sequence under 2 other names. The record is from RNAcentral.